AUGCGAGGCGGACGGGUGAGAAACAUUUGUGGUCGUGCCGUUGGCGACUGGAGAUUUGGAAUGCGGCUGUGGCCAUGGGCGGUCCUGGGGCGGGAUCGCGUGUGUGCUGCCUCCAACCUGCUUUGCUGUUCCCGCGAUCUCAAGGUAUGGUAUCGAUCUGCUUUGCGCAUUGCUUUAGGAAAACUGAUUAGUUAUCUAUACAUAGAUGUUUGCAGAUCUGAGGACGAAGGGAAGAAUAAGAAGAAUUUAGCUAGAGAUUUGAAGAAGAUCAAGGUGAUUUUUCUCCCUCCUGUUAAGCUUUGUUAUCUCAUUUUGAUGCUAUUGUUUGUGAUUGAUGUAAACAUGAGGAAGAUAAGAGAUCACAACGAGGCUAAAUGA
RNAcentral lists this ribosomal RNA (378 nucleotides) under Triticum aestivum (bread wheat). RNAcentral's name for it is "partial small subunit ribosomal RNA". Lineage: Eukaryota; Viridiplantae; Streptophyta; Magnoliopsida; Poales; Poaceae. The record is from RNAcentral.